GGGUAUUCACCCUUCACUUUCAAGAGAUUUGCUAGUGGAAGGUGGGAGCCUCAUCGAAGAGGGGCCUCGCAAGUGGAUGUAGGUCACUUGACCGAACCACUUUAAAAACGGCGUAAUCUCUAGUUUGCAUUUCUUAUUGUCAUUUACAUUACUGCAAACCUUCUUACUUGCUUUGUUUCAUCAUUAUCUUUGCUGCUCAACUUUGCGAAUACGCUUUCAAGUUA
This 224-nucleotide long non-coding RNA is filed under the name Musa acuminata (dwarf banana). RNAcentral describes it as "long non-coding RNA (MACU_LNC005336)". The record is from RNAcentral. Lineage: Eukaryota; Viridiplantae; Streptophyta; Magnoliopsida; Zingiberales; Musaceae.